RNAcentral lists this unclassified non-coding RNA (1012 nucleotides) under Hevea brasiliensis (rubber tree). The record is from RNAcentral. Lineage: Eukaryota; Viridiplantae; Streptophyta; Magnoliopsida; Malpighiales; Euphorbiaceae.
UUUUUGUCCAAUCAUCAUCAUGUAACUAGUCACCUAUACAAUUCUUAUGGAGUCUGGACAAUAAAAUUAAGAUGGUAAGAAGAUGCAUGAAGAUUUUAAAAUUCUGGAGAAAAGCUGCAGAAACUAUGAUUAGUCUCUGAGAUUUAGCUGGAAAGAAAACUCUCGCAUCCUUAAAUCUAUUUAAUCUCAGCAAAAAUUUACACUUCUCGGAGAAAUAGGGAACAAAACCGAAAACCCGACAAAGGAAAACGAGAAAAACUGAGAGGAGAGCUCUCUGGAAUCUGAAAAGCACUCUCCACCCUCUUCAGAGAGAGGACCAAAAAAAAAAAAAAAGAGUAGCAGUUCAAGGGUUUUGUUCCUGAGCUUGUCGAGUCUCCUGGGUCUCUCUAUUUUCUUCUUCUCGCUCUUGUUCUGAUGCUAUUGAUGCUGUAAUUGUUUGAACAUGGUUACCAAUUUCCCCUUUCGUUUUAUCACCAUUUUCUGGCUUCACUUCCUCUUUGUUGUCAAUCUUGGAAUUUUUGUCGUCGAAAGCGGAAGCUCUGCUAGACACAGGGGUGGCCAAGAACGUUGGUUUCUGAUCACCAGCCAUUAUCACUAAAAUCUUCUCCUCAUAAAUCUUUUCUGCCUUGCCUGCAUGUCCCUCUUUUUCAUUACCACUUUCAAGAUCUCUCUGGUCACCAUCUUCAUUAUCUUCUAAACGACCAGAUAGUCUCCAGUAAGAGCAAGCUAAGAUAAACAAGGCAAACGCAAUCAAGCCCAGCAUCGCUGCCAAACCUCCAAAGAGGUAAGGCACCGGAGAGUGCCAUGGCGAGCGCUGUUGCGUGAUAGCUGGAGGUGGAACUGAGGUAAUUGUUGUUGCGGUGGAGGUAAGGGUUCUAGUUGGUCUCAUUUUGUUCUGAAUCUUGAGGAAGGAGAUGGCUGGUGAGGGUAAGAGAAAAGAAGGCGUAGAACCUGAGUAAGAGGGAGGGAAGCGGUGGUAUUUAUAAGCGGAGAGAAAGAGAGGAUGGUGGAG